This 503-nucleotide ribosomal RNA is filed under the name uncultured bacterium. Its description in RNAcentral is "bacterial SSU rRNA". It matches the Rfam family "Bacterial small subunit ribosomal RNA", at positions 899 to 1397 of the family's 1533-position model. The record is from RNAcentral.
ACUCAAAGGAAUUGACGGGGGCCCGCACAAGCGGUGGAGCAUGUGGCUUAAUUCGUCACUAACCGAAGAACCUUACCAGGGUUUGACAUCUGUGGAAUCCGGAUGAAAGUCUGGAGUGCCUCGUAAGAGGAGCCGCAAGACAGGUGUUGCAUGGCUGUCGUCAGCUCGUGUCGUGAGAUGUUGGGUUAAGUCCCGCAACGAGCGCAACCCUCAUCAGAUGUUGCCAGCGUAAAGUCGGGAACUCUUCUGAAACUGCCCGUGUAAGCGGGAGGAAGGUGGGGAUGACGUCAAGUCGGCAUGGCCCUUACGCCCUGGGCUGCACACAUGCUACAAUGGUCGUUAACAAAGGGUUGCGAAACCGCGAGGUGGAGCUAAUCUCAGAAAUACGGCCCCAGUUCGGAUUGCAGUCUGCAACUCGACUGCAUGAAUGUCGGAAUCGCUAGUAACCGCAGGUCAGCUAAACUGCGGUGAAUACGUUCCCGGGCCUUGUACACACCGCCCGU